RNAcentral lists this transfer RNA (67 nucleotides) under Tullbergia mixta. Its description in RNAcentral is "tRNA-Gln". Lineage: Eukaryota; Metazoa; Arthropoda; Collembola; Poduromorpha; Tullbergiidae. The record is from RNAcentral.
UAAAAUAGGGUGUUUGGCACGUUAAUUUUUGGAGUUAAAGGAACUAAGGUAAUUCUGGUUAUUUUAA